UACGGGGGGAGCAAGCGUUGUUCGGAUUUACUGGGCGUAAAGGGCGCGUAGGCGGCCAGUGCAAGUCAGUUGUGAAAUCUCCGGGCUUAACUCGGAAAGGUCAACUGAUACUGCUCGGCUAGAGUGCGGAAGGGGCAACUGGAAUUCUCGGUGUAGCGGUGAAAUGCGUAGAUAUCGAGAGGAACACCUGCGGCGAAGGCGGGUUGCUGGGCCGACACUGACGCUGAAGUGCGAAAGCUAGGGGAGCGAACGGG
Molecule: ribosomal RNA, 254 nt
Filed under: uncultured bacterium
Lineage: Bacteria
Description: partial 16S ribosomal RNA
Rfam family: Bacterial small subunit ribosomal RNA
Source: RNAcentral